GAUGAACGCUGGCGGCGUGCCUAAUACAUGCAAGUCGAGCGAACAGAUGAGGAGCUUGCUCCUCUGACGUUAGCGGCGGACGGGUGAGUAACACGUGGAUAACCUACCUAUAAGACUGGGAUAACUUCGGGAAACCGGAGCUAAUACCGGAUAAUAUAUUGAACCGCAUGGUUCAAUAGUGAAAGACGGUUUUGCUGUCACUUAUAGAUGGAUCCGCGCCGCAUUAGCUAGUUGGUAAGGUAACGGCUUACCAAGGCAACGAUGCGUAGCCGACCUGAGAGGGUGACCGGCCACACUGGACCUGGGACACGGUCCAGACCCCUACGGGAGGCAGCAGUAGGGAAUCUUCCGCAAUGGGCGAAAGCCUGACGGAGCAACGCCGCGUGAGUGAUGAAGGUCUUCGGAUCGUAAAACUCUGUUAUUAGGGAAGAACAAAUGUGUAAGUAACUAUGCACGUCUUGACGGUACCUAAUCAGAAAGCCACGGCUAACUACGUG
Molecule: ribosomal RNA, 497 nt
Filed under: uncultured bacterium
Lineage: Bacteria
Description: partial 16S ribosomal RNA
Rfam family: Bacterial small subunit ribosomal RNA
Source: RNAcentral